AAUAAGUGCAGCCAUAAGUUUUCACGCACAACUUUGAUCGUUCAUCUUAUUUAAAAUUUUUUUAUAAUUAAUAUUUUUGUUGUUAUAAGAUGAUAAAACAUGAAUAGUACUUUACCCGUGACUUAUGUUUUUAAUUUUUUUAAAAAAAAAUUCAAAUAUGAUAAAUGAUUAAAGUUGGACGCGGAAAAUCAUAGCUGCAUUUAUU
Oryza barthii is the source of this 205-nucleotide non-coding RNA. The record is from Rfam. NCBI's taxonomy places the organism in Eukaryota, Viridiplantae, Streptophyta, Magnoliopsida, Poales, Poaceae.